RNAcentral lists this ribosomal RNA (488 nucleotides) under uncultured bacterium. RNAcentral describes it as "bacterial SSU rRNA". It matches the Rfam family "Bacterial small subunit ribosomal RNA", at positions 33 to 507 of the family's 1533-position model. The record is from RNAcentral.
GACGACGCUGGCGGCGUGGAUUAGGCAUGCAAGUCGGAGGUAGGCUUUAUCGUAAGAUAGAGUUUGAGAGUGGCGAACGGGUGAGUAACACGUAGGAAUCUACCUUAAGACGGGGACAACCCGGGAAACUUGGGCUAAUACCGGAUGAGAGCAACUUUUAGUUGUUUGAAAGGUGGCGUAAGCUGUCGCUUGGGGAUGAGCCUGCGUCCUAUUAGUUAGUUGGUGAGGUAACGGCUCACCUAGGCAAUGAUAGGUAGGCGGCCUUAACGGGUGGUCGCCCACACUGGGAUUGAGAUACGGCCCAGACUCCUACGGGAGGCAGCAGUCGAGAAUAGUCUACAAUGGUCGGAAGACUGAUAGUGCGACGCCGCGUGAACGAUGAAUCCCUUCGGGGUGUAAAAGUUCUUUUAUAUGUGAGCAGUGCUUCUUAUAUUAACAGUAUGGGGAGAGAGAUAUUAGCAUAUGAAUAAGCAACGGCUAACUCCGUG